GGACUUUCUCAUCUUUUGCAAAGUAGGCAGCGUUCUUGAGCUCAAGAGAGAGGCCGUUUUUGACUGCCAUGUUGUUGAAUUCUUCCGCAAGAUGUUGAAUGACGGUGUAAAAUAUUUUUUGCUAGGUCAUAUUACCACUACAUGCCAAACGAAAUGGAUUACCCAGUUUAUCCAGAAGCUAAGGCCCUCUGGUGGUUUAGCAUGACGUUUCUUCUUUCUGACUGGGAGAAGGAAGAAUUGUGCAUGAUUGCAGAGAAAUUUGUAUGUGCUUUGCUACGUAAAGCAGUUUGGUGUGAUCUCCAUAUUCACAUGCACACUUGGCGGUCUCAUCUACUUUGGAAAGCUGGAAGAGAUGAUGCCACUUCUUUAUUUUCUAAGACACUUGGUCAGCCUCAUUUCUAAUUCUAUCAGAUGUAUCAGCUGAACUGAGCCACUUCACUGAAUAUAUUGGCGGCCCAUGAGGCUCCUAGCCAUUUUUUUCUGAAGAUACAUGUCACUUGAGGUUUGGAUGGAGUACGGGCAACAAUAUCUUAACUUUAGGAUCACUCUCUGUGUUCCUAAAGUCACAUACUUCCAUUUUUUUGCCUAUGGUCAUUGUCAAAAUACUCUUUUGGUUAGCCUGUUAGAUAAAACGUGGUGGGUAAUACUUGUGUGGCAACAAUUAUUAUGUUCCCAUGAAAUUAACCCUUUUUUUCUUUGUU
Triticum dicoccoides is the source of this 701-nucleotide long non-coding RNA. RefSeq lists it as uncharacterized. NCBI's taxonomy places the organism in Eukaryota, Viridiplantae, Streptophyta, Magnoliopsida, Poales, Poaceae. The record is from RefSeq and is a predicted model, not a curated record. The transcript has 4 exons.